UAGGAAAUCUUCCGCAAUGGGCGAAAGCCUGACGGAGCAACGCCGCGUGAGUGAUGAAGGUCUUCGGAUCGUAAAACUCUGUUAUCAGGGAAGAACAAAUGUGUAAGUAACUGUGCACGUCUUGACGGUACCUGAUCAGAAAGCCACGGCUAACUACGUGCCAGCAGCCGCGGUAAUACGUAGGUGGCAAGCGUUAUCCGGAAUUAUUGGGCGUAAAGCGCGCGUAGGCGGUUUUUUAAGUCUGAUGUGAAAGCCCACGGCUCAACCGUGGAGGGUCAUUGGAAACUGGAAAACUUGAGUGCAGAAGAGGAAAGUGGAAUUCCAUGUGUAGCGGUGAAAUGCGCAGAGAUAUGGAGGAACACCAGUGGCGAAGGCGACUUUCUGGUCUGUAACUGACGCUGAUGUGCGAAAGCGUGGGGAUCAAACAGG
RNAcentral lists this ribosomal RNA (429 nucleotides) under bacterium. Its description in RNAcentral is "partial 16S ribosomal RNA". It matches the Rfam family "Bacterial small subunit ribosomal RNA", at positions 355 to 776 of the family's 1533-position model. The record is from RNAcentral.